GUGAAUCAUCGAAUUUUUGAACGCAUAUUGCACUCUCUGGUAUUCCGGAGAGUAUGCCUGUUUGAGGGUAAUUAAAAACAAUCUUUAACAAAUUUUUUUGUUCAAAGGAAAUGAGUUCUCCUCGGUUAUAGCGGUAGCGUGAAAUAAAUGGUCAAGUCUCAUUUUAUUCGAGACUCGUAAUAAUAUUAUUUCGCGAAAUCGUGAUUAUGUGACUAUCAAGUUUUUAUGCAUACAGAUAU
This 239-nucleotide unclassified non-coding RNA is filed under the name Ambisporaceae sp. RNAcentral's name for it is "partial contains 5.8S ribosomal RNA and internal transcribed spacer 2". The stretch from base 1 to 71 matches the Rfam family "5.8S ribosomal RNA", at positions 84 to 154 of the family's 154-position model. Lineage: Eukaryota; Fungi; Glomeromycota; Glomeromycetes; Archaeosporales; Ambisporaceae. The record is from RNAcentral.